UUACAAGCGUUGGCAAACAGCAUUGUAAUGAGGCUUGAGGCUUGAUGACCCAAGACGGCUUGCUUGCCUACCCCAGUUCAGCAACCACCCACAUCCAAACUUGUGUGGGUACAAGUGUCACGAGGAAAUCGAGAGAACCCUCAAAAAGAUGUUACACAGCCACUCAGCAGCAUCUGCCUGUGACAACUCUCCUGCGGGGACUAGCAACAGCAUACCGUCUCGAUCUCUGAAUCCAUUUCCCUGUAAUUCCGUACACAAGUGACGUACUUCAGCAGAUACAUAAAUGUACGAUUAGUGCGCAAAUUGUUCAUGCUAUCGUUAUGUAUUAUGUUAUCCAACACUCUUACAAUGAUCCUUCUGUUCAACAACCAAAGAUAAAACUAUUCUAAUCUAGGAUAUAACCUCUCCCCGUCAACUAUAAAAAAGGAUGGGUUUAUUGUAACACAUACACCAUUUCAAAAUGUAUAACCUUGUCUACGCUUUUUUUUUCUUUUUUUUCUACCUCGGACAUGGCUCAACGCAUUCGCCGGUCUGAGUACCAAAUGUGUUCGGCUGCCAGAUCCAACAUGACACGUCUUUUCCUGAGAUGGUGGUGGUGUGUUGUCCUGGUGGAAAACCUUGGGCUGGAAGGGUAUGGGAGGAAGUUCGCCCACUUUACUGAGGAAGGAAAAUCAACCCUCCGAGACAAUGUCCCACCUGUCUUCAGGAAAACGAAACUAAAAAGAACACUUUCAAGCUGCACAGUGAUGCCAUUGGACUCUGACGAGGACCAUGCUUACAAUAAGAGGCCUUACAGCUUUCCCUCUAAGGAGAUGGUUAGUAAAAAGUUAAUUGCAUACAAAGACAAUGUCCACCAUCAGAGCUGUACUUAUGUGAAUUUUUGUAUCCAUUUAGGGCAGUGGAGUUACCAUGGACAAAGAUGUCUUCAGCUUCAAAGAAGACACAUCUCUCAUUUAACAAACCAUUAAGUCAUUUAUUGGUACAGGCUUUAAUAAUUAAAAUACUUUUGGUAUGGAGCUUUUUAUAUUCUAAGGUUUAUGCCAAUAUUUGGAGGUGAGAACAUGAUGCUACUGCAUUUAAAGUCUCUAGUGCAAUCUGCUGUCUUCACCUGUAGCCAAUAUGUAUCAUCACAAUGUUCGAGUUGUGGCUUACGACACACACAUCUUUGGAUUUAUUGGGCGCUUUUCAAUACAAUAAUAAGGGUCCAAGUACUGAUUCUCUGUUGCCACUGGUUUACUUUUAUUUCUUUUCUAGAUAGGAAUAGUCUGAAAUGUCUUAACCAUGAGAUUUUUACAAAGCUGACAAAAUUAAUAAAAACAUGCAUUUAACAGAUUUAACAGAGGCUAUGUGGCUUUCCUUAAGGAGAAGGAGAGGAGAUGCUCUUUGCGUCUGAGUUCAUGAUCCAGGUUGAUCCACAACCAGUCACAACAUUCCUAAAAGCUGUUGUGUGUUAAGCUGCACGCUCAAUAAAAGUUAUUCAAAUGUUAAAACGGUUUGUAAACCUAAGAAAAAGCUGUGAUCCCUUACGAAGGAAACGGUGGAUAAGAAGAGAGGCACCAGGAUCAGUAGCCUACAUGACAAAACUGGAGGAAAACUUUGAGACCCCUAUAUGUGUAGUAGAGGUAUUUGGGUAUGGUCGGUACCGUUUGCAGCAGGCCUAAACCAUAGGUCCAUGGUCUCAACGAGUCGCGUUUUUAAUCCAUCACUGAGACAGAAAGUGGACAUUUAAGAUGUCAAUGGGUGGAUUAUUUUUUAACACAAACAGCUCGUAUGGACAGACAAGAGUCGUGGCUUUAAACAUAGUAACGUGUAUUUGUGAAAGGCAUGUUUUAUUACGUUUUUAUUAAGUUUGUUUGCAUUCUAUACAAAGUGAAUGGAGCUCUGUUUAAAGUCAGUAACGUGUAUUUAUGAAGGCCAUGUUUUAUUACGUUUUUAUUAAGUUUGUUUGCAUUCUACGCAAAGUGAAUGGAGCGCUGUGCAAAGUGAAUGGAGCGCUGUAGCACUGUUUAUUGUUUUCCCCCAUGAUGGCCACCAUAGAACGAGCAAUGGGCGUGUUUGGCAGAGCAAUGGGCGUAUUUGGCAGAGCAAUGGGCGUGUUUGGCAGAGCAAUGGGCGUGUUUGGCAAGUGGCUCCGGCUGCAGAUAGACCUACUUGAAAAAUGCCAAUACAUUGGGAUUGGGAUUUUGUCAGACAUUCUUUUUUCUCAUUUAUUUAUAAAUCCCCAAAUAAUUUAGGCAGGAGCAUCUAUCAGUCAAAAAUGCAUCUCACAUUUACACCUUAGUCAGUUAGUUCAGUAUGGCAUUGCAUGUGGUUUUAGAAAUAUAAGUCUGAGUGUAUGACUACACCAAGAUUUCUGUCUUGGUGUGUGCUUUCUAACAUAACAGCUGUGUACUGACUUUUAAUUGUUCAUCCCUUGCACCAAAGACCAUUACUUCAGUUUUUUCAUUGUUCAAUUGAAGACAAUUUGGCACAUCCAGUGAUUGAAGUAGUUAUUUAGCUGUUGAUAAACAGCUUUUCAAUGAUUUUGCUUAAAAAUGGUAAGUUAGAAAUGGCUUGAUGACUGUUGUUUUUUCAGAGCCUGUAGGAAUCACCUGUGUGAUAUCGCCACUGCAGGCAACAUGAAUAAAAAAAUAUAUAAUAAUAUACAAAUAUUUCAGUGUGUGUGCUCGUGUGUAUCCAAACACAUACACUGCAAUUCACAUACACACAUACAGCUCAAUGUAAAUCCAUGAAAACAUUAUUGUUAUUAGUUGUAUAGGCAAGGAUACAAUUCAUUGAACAUCGGGAAAAUCAUAAAAAUUGAUACAACUGAGGAACAGCUAAAUGUAAAUCCAUAAAAAACGGCAUGUUUAGAUCCCAUGGUGAAUUGAGGAAGAAUUCAUGAAUGUGUUCAUAUUAGAUAUUCAUCCUAUUCCUUGAAAAUAGAUUUUUUCAAGGAAUAGGAUGAAUAUCUAAUAUGAACACAUUCAUGAAUUCUUCCUCAAUUCACUAUGGGAUCUAAACAUGCUGUUUUUUAUGGAUUUACAUUUAGCUGUUCCUCAGUUGUAUCAAUUGUCUUAUUUAUUCAGUUUUGAAUGAGCAAAUAAAAUCUCAAUCAUAUGACAUCCAAGUCAUAUGAUAUAUAAGAUUGAUA
Gadus morhua (Atlantic cod) is the source of this 3133-nucleotide long non-coding RNA. The record is from Ensembl. Lineage: Eukaryota; Metazoa; Chordata; Actinopteri; Gadiformes; Gadidae.